UGCCAGCAGCCGCGGUAAUACGGAGGGAGCGAGCGUUAAUCGGAAUUACUGGGCGUAGAGCGCACGUAGGCGGCUUUGUAAGUCGGAUGUGAAAGCCCUGGGCUUAACCUGGGAAUGGCAUUCGAUACUGCAGAGCUAGAGUAUGGUAGAGGGAAGUGGAAUUUCCGGUGUAGCGGUGAAAUGCGUAGAUAUCGGAAGGAACACCAGUGGCGAAGGCGACUCACUGGCUCGAUACUGACGCUGAGGUGCGAAAGUGUGGGGAGCAAACAGGAUUAGAUA
RNAcentral lists this ribosomal RNA (279 nucleotides) under uncultured bacterium. Its description in RNAcentral is "partial 16S ribosomal RNA". It matches the Rfam family "Bacterial small subunit ribosomal RNA", at positions 506 to 784 of the family's 1533-position model. The record is from RNAcentral.